RNAcentral lists this ribosomal RNA (811 nucleotides) under uncultured organism. RNAcentral describes it as "bacterial SSU rRNA". It matches the Rfam family "Bacterial small subunit ribosomal RNA", at positions 505 to 1340 of the family's 1533-position model. The record is from RNAcentral.
GUGCCAGCAGCCGCGGUAAUACGAAGGGGGCUAGCGUUGUUCGGAAUUACUGGGCGUAAAGCGCACGUAGGCGGACUUUUAAGUCUGGGGUGAAAGCCCGGAGCUCAACUCCGGAACUGCCUUGGAUACUGGGAGUCUUGAGGAUGGAAGAGGUAAGUGGAAUACCGAGUGUAGAGGUGAAAUUCGUAGAUAUUCGGUGGAACACCAGUGGCGAAGGCGACUUACUGGUCCAUUUCUGACGCUGAGGUGCGAAAGUGUGGGGAGCAAACAGGAUUAGAUACCCUGGUAGUCCACACCGUAAACGAUGAGAGCUAGUUGUUAGCAGGUUUACCUGUCGGUGACGCAGCUAACGCAUUAAGCUCUCCGCCUGGGGAGUACGGCCGCAAGGUUAAAACUCAAAGAAAUUGACGGGGGCCCGCACAAGCGGUGGAGCAUGUGGUUUAAUUCGAAGCAACGCGCAGAACCUUACCCACGUUUGACAUGCCUGGAUGUGAUCAGAGAUGUGAUCGUUCCUUCGGGACCAGUGCACAGGUGCUGCAUGGUUGUCGUCAGCUCGUGUCGUGAGAUGUUGGGUUAAGUCCCGCAACGAGCGCAACCCUCACCCUUAGUUGCUAACAGGUUUGGCUGAGAACUCUAAGGGAACUGCCCGUGGCAAGCGGGAGGAAGGUGGGGAUGACGUCAAGUCCUCAUGGCCCUUACGCGUGGGGCUACACACGUGCUACAAUGGCAGUGACAAUGGGAUAAUCCCAAAAAGCUGUCUCAGUUCAGAUUGGGGUCUGCAACUCGACCCCAUGAAGUGGAAUCGCUAGUA